UAAUACCGGAUACGAGCUGCGAAGGCAUCUUCAGCAGCUGGAAAGAAUUUCGGUCAGGGAUGAGCUCGCGGCCUAUCAGCUUGUUGGUGAGGUAAUGGCUCACCAAGGCGUCGACGGGUAGCCGGCCUGAGAGGGUGACCGGCCACACUGGGACUGAGACACGGCCCAGACUCCUACGGGAGGCAGCAGUGGGGAAUAUUGCACAAUGGGCGAAAGCCUGAUGCAGCAACGCCGCGUGAGGGAUGACGGCCUUCGGGUUGUAAACCUCUUUUAGCAAAGGAAGAAGCGAAAAGUGACGGUACUUGCAGAAAAAGCGCCGGCUAACUACGUGCCAGCAGCCGCGGUAAUACGUAGGGCGCAAGCGUUAUCCGGAAUUAUUGGGCGUAAAGAGCUCGUAGGCGGUCUGUCGCGUCUGCUGUGAAAACCCGAGGCUCAACCUCGGGCCUGCAGUGGGUACGGGCAGACUAGAGUGCGGUAGGGGAGAUUGGAAUUCCUGGUGUAGCGGUGGAAUGCGCAGAUAUCAGGAGGAACACCGAUGGCGAAGGCAGAUCUCUGGGCCGUAACUGACGCUGAGGAGCGAAAGGGUGGGGAGCA
Molecule: ribosomal RNA, 594 nt
Filed under: uncultured bacterium
Lineage: Bacteria
Description: bacterial SSU rRNA
Rfam family: Bacterial small subunit ribosomal RNA
Source: RNAcentral